CCAAGCCACGCCCCCUGCCCUGCAGCACAGUUACGCCUGGGCGGGGAUUUGACAGCAACUUUCAGUCAUCGCACUACAGAUGGUAGUGUGCCCUUUCGGCUCUUCAGCCCAGCACGCACACUGAAAGUCUGACUGUGAAAGGGCAGCCACUGCCAACUAUGAAGAAAGCCCUUAUCAGAAAGUGACCAUGCCAGCACCCUGAUCUUGGACUUCCAGCCUCCAGAACUAAAGUCCAAAACCCCUGGUGAAAGUUUCAAUUAUCUAGAGGUGUACAUCUGAACCAACCAGAAGAUCCCCAUUUUUUCUACGGUAGGAAAUACGCAGCUGCUCAAGUACUACUAGACAUGACAUAUUCGACUUUCACCCACCCACCUUUGAACCUUCAAAACACGUUUGCUAAAAAGAAUGUGUUUUUAAGUCCCCCCCCCUUUUUGCACUCACUCCCUGAAGUAGGAGAAAUAUUAGGAAAUUUACUCUUCCACUCAACAGCUCUCACAUGAGCCUUCAAGAAGCUACGCUUAUGAGAGAAGCAUGAACCCAGCGGAGGAGAGCUCCGGAGGGGUCACCGCGUAUGACAGUCAACUUUAUAUAUUCACACUUCAGGCAUCUUAUUCAAACCAACUGCAGAAGCCUGACUUGUUCUUUCGAAAACAUUACGCUGACUUCAAUUUAGACAUUUCUAUUUUGGUGCAGCUAGACUACACAGGAGUGUGUUCCUCUACCAUUUAGUAAUUUAGAUACUUUCAAUAUUAUUGCUAACUGACUCUUGAGGUAUAAGAGCCUUAAUUAUGUUGGUUUAAUAUUUUGUGCUUAAAUAUUGUUAUUUGUAAACUAACAGUGGGAAACACUACAACUUCCCCACGUUCCUUUCUUAUUUCACUGUUACAAUAAAAUAUGCUAUUGUUGAUUGACUGUUGAGUUUUAUUAAUAAUAUGAAUAAUAUUAAGAUCAUGAUGAAAAUAUUUGUACUUUCAUUACAUAUUAAAAGAGUGAGAAAUCUUUAAAGACCUCCUUUCUCAACCACAUUUUUUUUUUUUACUAAUUUGAACCUUUAACUUUAGUAACCACAGAGACAAGAAUUGGUGUUUAAUAUUGUA
Felis catus (domestic cat) is the source of this 1097-nucleotide long non-coding RNA. RefSeq lists it as uncharacterized. The record is from RefSeq and is a predicted model, not a curated record. The transcript is spliced from 3 exons. NCBI's taxonomy places the organism in Eukaryota, Metazoa, Chordata, Mammalia, Carnivora, Felidae.